This 555-nucleotide ribosomal RNA is filed under the name uncultured bacterium. RNAcentral describes it as "partial 16S ribosomal RNA". It matches the Rfam family "Bacterial small subunit ribosomal RNA", at positions 372 to 919 of the family's 1533-position model. The record is from RNAcentral.
UGGGAAGGAGGUAGCCUGAUGCAGCCAUGCCGCGUGAGUGAGAAGGCCUUCUGGUUGUAAAGCUCUUUUGCGGGAAGAAGCUACUUGGAUUAAUACCCUUUGGUAGUGACCGUACCUGACAAAAUAGGCUCCGUCAAUUUCUGCCCCCGCGGCCCCGGAAAUUACCAGGGCGCUAGCCUUAUUUGAAUUUAUUGGGGGAAACGUGUGCUGACCCGGUUUUUUACUUCGAAUGUUAACCCCCCGACCUUAAAUUAGAAAUUGAUUUCGAAUGUGGGAAGUUCAAGUAAGGGGGAGGAAGUUCAAGAUGUAGGGGUGAACUGCUAAUGCGUAGAUAUCUGCUCGAACUGCGAUUGCAACUGCUCCCCGCAGGCUGAUACUGACGCUGAAAUAAAAACGCAUGGAGACCAAACGAUAAUAUAUCCAGUCCACACCCCACGCAAAAAAAAAUCUCUUGUUGCCGGUGGGGCCUUUUAGGCUUUACCACCUCUUAAGUAUUCAUCCGACCACCUGCGGAGGAGAACGGCCACAUUAAUAGAAUUCAGAGUUUGUUGGCGG